Small nuclear RNA from Zingiber officinale, 196 nucleotides. RefSeq annotates it as U2 spliceosomal RNA. The transcript has a single exon. The record is from RefSeq and is a predicted model, not a curated record. NCBI's taxonomy places the organism in Eukaryota, Viridiplantae, Streptophyta, Magnoliopsida, Zingiberales, Zingiberaceae.
AUUUCUCAGCCUCAUAGCUAAGAUAAAGUGUAUAGUAUAUGUAGAUAAUGUGCAGUAUAUGUUCUUAUCAAUUUAAUAUUUGAUAUAAAAAAUUAAAUUAAUUUUUUACAAGAGAGUGUUGGUUAUAAUAAUUUACUGUUGUGGUUUUCGAGCGUCGCCCUUAUGUUACACUACUGCAUGGGCUUGCCAACUCUAA